GAUGAAGAACGUAGCGAAAUGCGAUAAGUAGUGUGAAUUGCAGAAUUCAGUGAAUCAUCGAAUCUUUGAACGCACAUUGCGCCCCUCGGUAUUCCGUGGGGCAUGCUUAUUUGAGCGUCAUUUAACCCCUCAAGCCUCGCUUGGUGUUGGAGACUGGCGGGGCGCAUGCGCCCGGAGCCACUCCCAAAUACAAUGACGGCGGCGACGAUGACCCCCGGCACACUGAGCUUCUCACCGAGCACGUGCUGGAAGGGUCUUGUGGCCACGGUCUGCCUCCCCUCUGGGAGAAACGGAUUUCAUCCACCAAGGUUGACCUCGGAUCAGGUAGGGAUACCCGCUGAACUUAAGCAUAUCAAUAAGCGGAGGA
Molecule: unclassified non-coding RNA, 367 nt
Filed under: soil metagenome
Description: partial contains 5.8S ribosomal RNA, internal transcribed spacer 2, and large subunit ribosomal RNA
Rfam family: 5.8S ribosomal RNA (bases 1-120)
Source: RNAcentral